AUGGAUGUAUCUAGACGUAUUUUAGUUCUAGAUACAUCCAUUUUCGAGACAAGUAAUUCCGAAAGGAGGGAGUACUUGAUAUAUGUGUUUUUUAUUAUUGUAGGGAUGGGAAGAACAUGUGUUUAUGUUCAUCAUGUGGAUAAAGAGGCCUUUUUGAAAGGCAAUGUUGAGCCGGACCCGGAUGAGCUUGACAUAGUGUUUGAGAGUAGUCCUAGCUAUGCGGAGCUCUUGGAACAAGCGAGGAAGGAUUUGAAUUGGAUGGACCCAAGUGACGUUGUUGAGUUCGAGGGAAGGCAUAAUGUUGGUUUUGAAAUGCACAUCCGUUGGAAGACAAUGCGUGUGAACUCCGAGCAACAUUGGGUUGCAUACAUGGAGACGGUUGCCGAAUCUCUAGACAAGGCUCUUGAGUUAUUUGCCUCCAAGAAGGUUGAGUCUACUUUGCAUUUGGACUUGAACCGGAACCCCUCCCCGUUGGUUGCUAGCACUCCCCCACCCAUGAACCAAGAUCAAAUGAGUGAACCUCAUUUCACGCAACAAGAUUGGCCAACAUUGAGCCCGACUCCAAACAACCAAAAUGAAGCUUUUGAAGAGGAGAAUGAUGAGUACGAGGAGGAUGACAACGAAGUUGAUCUCCAUGGCAACAAUGUGGGUGAUCUCGACCAAUACCAUGUGCUAGAGACAAUGGACCAAUCCAUCCAUUUUUCCUGUGCAUAUGCAUCGGACUCGCAUGACGAUGGUCCCGAUGAAGAAGUUGAUGAGGAGGGGUUCACGUCGAUGGAGGCCCAAGCAUUCAAGAAGGUAUUCGGGCGGGAUCACAAGACACUAUUGUUCAAGGAUCUUAGUCUCGUGGAUGAAGCCGUUGUGGAUGGUGGCAAAUGCAUGUCUCUUGGAGCUAGGCCAAGUUCUCACCGUGAUUUGGAAGAUGGCAAGAACGAUAUUUCCCGGUUGUGA
This 951-nucleotide ribosomal RNA is filed under the name Triticum aestivum (bread wheat). RNAcentral describes it as "partial small subunit ribosomal RNA". The record is from RNAcentral. Lineage: Eukaryota; Viridiplantae; Streptophyta; Magnoliopsida; Poales; Poaceae.